Molecule: long non-coding RNA, 4241 nt
Organism: Cercocebus atys (sooty mangabey)
Lineage: Eukaryota; Metazoa; Chordata; Mammalia; Primates; Cercopithecidae
Exons: 3
Source: RefSeq, a predicted model, not a curated record
GGAGGAGGAGGAGGAGGAAGAGGAGGAGGAGAGGAAGAGGACACUUUAAUGUAUGUAAACUAAAAGUAAAUUUAUAGGAAUCAUUUAUUAUUUGCAGUGCAUGCUCUUUAUUCUUGAGUCAAAGAGACAUAGCUUAAGCAAAGGUUUGAUCAGUGAUGUCACACAAUGGCAAUUGUGACUGCAAGUUCGUGCCCCUUUAUCCCUUAUCACCCUUCCAACCACAUCGCUGUGAUUGAGUACAGACUGCGUCCUUUGUUUGUUUUCAUCCUCCCCCUUUGAUUACUCUCUCUUUCCUGAGCUGUAUUCUCCUUCCCUGUAAAUAAAGUAUGACCUGUAUAACACAAAAGGAAAUGGGAGCAUAAAAAUUUGCAUACUGUAAUUAAACUGCUGUAUCAUGAGCUUUCUUUCUUUGGUUAUGUUGGAAUGAAAACAAAGGUAUACCUCUGAAUCAGAGUUUGGAGUGUUAUCCCUGGAAACUGGAAUGAAUAAAAUAGGCCAGGAAGCCUUGUGUGCCUUACAACCUUAAUGCAGCCAUGUGCUGUACUGUUUAUGGGUAAAGCACCUGGCACCACAGUCCUUCCUGGACUGGCCUUUAUCUCAGGUAAGUGGGGCCUUUCCGGUUGAAUCUCUUCCAGACAGGUGUGCAGGCAAAGAUGAUAGCCUGGCCCAUGGCUGAAUGGUUGCUUCUCAUCCAUGGAAUUCAUUUUCAUAUUUGAAAUGCUGCAUAAUGUGGUGAAUAAAGCACUAAACUGGAAAUCCAGGAUAUACAGUUUGUGAGGACUUGCCGACUGCACUUACAUGAUCAUCUUAACAGCUUAAUGCUUGAAUUAAUUCAAUCAGUAUAAUGGUUGGUAAUUUGUAAUAAAAAUUCUGACAACUUAUACACGGCUUAAAUUUAUCAAGUGCUUUUAUGCAGUUUAACUCUUUUAAUCUUCAGGUUCAGAUGGGGAAAAAAAAACCUGACUGAGUGAGGUUUGGUGCCCUGUUUCUUAUAGAACAAUUACCUCAUCUUUCCCUCCAUAUUCAUCCUGUGAAGACACUGUACCCUGGUACCAUGUUGAAGAGAACUCCAAAACGAUAGAGUUUAUCACCUCAGAGUCCUGCCUGGAACAACAAUCACUGAUUAACUUUGAGUUCUGUUACAGACCCUGUGUAGUGAGCACUAGGAAAUGUCUAAGAAAUGAAUAAAUGAAUGCAUGCAAGCUCGGAGGUCUUGACAAUAACCUACUUCGAGUUUGAAAAUGCAGCACCGGAAUGUUUGCAUUUGACUUACCAGAAGCUUCUCCUUCACCUCUUGGCUGUGAACCUCCAUAGCACCCUCCCACAGUAUGUCAAAGGUGUUGUUGGAUCAGCAGUCCCCCUAUUCUGGAACAUUUUCUCUUUCUACUUCAUUUGUGUUGCUUGUGUUGAAGGUACCCCGAUCUUACAGAGCUAUUUCUCUGACUUUAGAUGAUGGGCACCCAACAUAAGGUGAGCCAAUUUCUAAACCUGAGACCAGAAUGCGUGUGAGUCAGUUUUUCUCCAGGCAUGGGAAGACAAGUUUUCUGCUACAUGGAGUAAGCCAGACCAUAGAGUAUGAUGUAGAGACCGAAGAACCAAGGAAAGAUAGAGAUGGAGUAGGUAUCCUGGCACCAUUUCUAAACCCCUUGUUCCAAUUUUUUAAAAGCCAACAGAGCUCUGCAUAUUUCCUGUUGGGUGAUUCAGCUGUCAAGUGCCCCAAGAUGCUUUCACUAAGUUCUUUAUUCAUUGGCAUUAUGGUCUUAACAAUACCACUGGCUUUUGUCAAUUUGAUGUAGAUUUCUGUCAGUGGGGAAAAAUAAGUCCAAAAUCACACAAUCCAAAUGUACCAGAGAAGCAUGUGGCUGGGUAGACAGUGAUUUGUGGUUAUGACUAAGUCUCUAUUCUAGACACCAUCAUUUCCUCAACUCUGGCACGAAAGAGGCCUAGAAUAUUUGCUUGGGAAUGCAAAUAUUCUUUAAACCGAGAGACAGGUCAUGGUUGUACCAGAAAAGGCAGAGGGAGGCUUUUUACUUUUCAUGUAUAAACUAGAAUAGGUAGUAAAAAUCAUUUUACUGAAUGAACUCUGGCUUUUUUCCUUCAUUUUUCCAAUUCCAUAAAAUCUACAUAGUUCUAAGUUUUGUUGUGAAGAUUAAAUAAUACAAUGAAUGUGAAAUACGUAGCAUAAUUCUUGACAUGGAGUAAUAAAUAUAGCUCUUCUAAUUAUUCCUUUUCUUGUAAAAAUCAUGCCACAGUCUUCUAAUUUUUAAAUUAUUUCUUGUUUCAAAAGUGAAUGUCUUAGAUAAAGCAGAGAUUUACUGUGCCCCCAUCACUCUUGUUAUUUAGGGUUCCAUUAUCAUUUGCUGAAUCACUAAAUCUCCAGUGAUUUGCAUGCUUGGUUUGGUUAAUAAAUAGUAAAAAUAAUACCACAAAAAAUAAAGAUGGUUUUAUUUUUAAAGCAGCCUAGAAAAUAGCUGGUCAACAGCUCAAAAUGGGACUAGAUGAUAGACAUUUCUGUAGAUAAAGCAUCUACCACCACUGACCAUUACUAACUCAACAAAAAUGUUUGUCCCGCUUUGCCAGACAGAUAAUUAAACAGCUUGUCCUGUCAGGACCUGAUGCUGGGAUGUCAGAGAAAAUUGAGUUUCUGAAUUUUGCCAUAUUUUGUAGUGGCCAGAAUCUCACUAUGAGAGACAGCAGGUUUGAAUUGCAGAAUUUGACUUCUCUCUUGGAUGUAUUUUACUGGAGAAGUUGAAAUUCUUCCUCUGAGGCUUAGGACAGCCUCUGUAGCCUAAGCCGCUCAGUCUGAGGUUGCUUCAGGGAUGGAAAAGUGAUCUUAAUUAUAGAUAAUCACAGAGCUCUGCCUGUGCUCUGGCACCCAAAAAGGCCAUAGAUGAAAAGUGGGGUGACAGGGGUAAUUCUUUUCCUUUCUCCAUUGUCCACCGGGUCCCUACAUAUGAAAAAUUGGUUCAGAGAAUAGUAUUCAGAAUCAAGAUGGAGAACCACAAAGGAAGUUAAAUGUAAGCUGGACGCCGGUUUUCAACGGGCAGAGAUGGGGCUCCCUGGGCCACAUGACCUCGGGAAAUGGGGAUAAUCAAAAUCGCCUGUGAAGUUUUUGUCAGAUUAUCAAAACCCCUUUAUAAGAGACUAUCAGAAUGAAUUUGGAUCAGAAAAGCUCUGAGACUAUUCUGUUUGCAAUUUUAAUAUACCAUUGUCACUACUACUCCAGAAAAAUAACAGUUUUCUCCAGACCAUUUUCUCACUGAAAACUUCCUCUACUAUGCUGGCCAAGAAUUCAAUUCCACCGUUGCUACAUCACACAGAAGAGAAGACUAGGUGGUAGUGCCGCUGGCCCUGCAGUUUAGUCCUUCCGAUCUCUUGAUCAUCUCUCUUUGUAAUAUUGUCUUAUUAUGCCUGAGUCCAGAACCCUUCAACACACCUCCGCAAAAUCUCCCUGUGCCCCAAAGUAGACCAUGUGCUUCCCUUGCAAUCUAGUUCCAUGUAGUAAUGGAGCUACAAGACAGCUUUGAGCUCACUCCAUUUGUUCAACUCCAGCUGCUUCAUAGACUAUGAAUUCAAGAGUCAAAGGAGGAAAAGUGAGGUCCUCAAGAUGAACAAGUGAAAGAGGAAAAUUUAGCAUUUAAUAUGUCAUAAUUCACUGUUUUGCAUUUGUAAGAUCGAGUUCUUUACUACUGGCAUAUAUCUUCUUUGUGAAGUGAUCAAUAGGAAAAUCACAUACCACUCUCUUAUUAUGCUGAUCUCUCCGCACUGUGUUAUUAUCCCCACAUCAUGCACGUCCAGGGUAAACAAAGAAAGACAACUCCUUUCAAGGAUCCAACGUGUAAGUGCAGAAGAAUAAGUAAACACACUAUGGCAAAGCUACUCAAGAAUUCAUUCAGCUACCAUAAUGGUGUAUAUGCAGAAUUUACAAAAAAAAUAAAAAUUAAAAAAAAAACAGCAAAAAGUAGCCGCAACAAAACCAAUAUUGAUAGGUUGAACAUUGUGGACUUUUGCCCCCAGUAUUCAUUCUCUUCUAAUAACAGAAUUUCUGUUUUCCUCCUGGGCAUUCAUGUCUCCUUCAUUUUCAAUCAUGUAGUCUGAGCGCAGUGUGGGUGAAAACUGUGACACAGACUGGUGUAUUAGCUUUCUUGCUGCAGCUGUGGCAAAUUAACACAAAUUUAGUGAUUUACAGUUCUGGAGGUCAGAAGUACAAAGCGGUUUUCAUGAGACUAAAAUCGAAACAU